Xenia sp. Carnegie-2017 is the source of this 1238-nucleotide long non-coding RNA. RefSeq lists it as uncharacterized. The transcript is spliced from 3 exons. Lineage: Eukaryota; Metazoa; Cnidaria; Anthozoa; Malacalcyonacea; Xeniidae. The record is from RefSeq and is a predicted model, not a curated record.
UUAAAAAACGUUUUACUUUUUGAGUGGAAUGCAGUUAUUUGAAAUAAAUUUUGCACUACCAAACCGUUAGAGCAAAAUCUUCCAACAUGCGAUAGAUAUGAAUUACCUAAAAAUUCGCACAAUCCUAAAAAACAUAUAGCCAAUGAUAAUUAUUUGCUCACCAAUUUAUUAGAAGCAGAUACAAAGUGUUUCUUUUGAAAGUAAUAUAAGUUUAAGUAUAAACUUUUUAAAUCUAUAUAUUUUAUAUAUCUACUGUAUCCUUUCAUUCUACAAAAAAUAAAUCUGUCGUUUCUUAUUUCAGCUACCUACAAACCAGUUUGCGUCGACGCAGAUUGGACAUUUUCCUUCAAUAAACAAGGAUGGUCAGUCUGUAGCACAAAAAACAACUCUAUCACUGGCUUUUAUCGCAAUGCCCUAAUAGACUAUGAUGGAAUUAACCGUCUUGAGAAAGCAAAAUGCUGUACAUCUAGUCCAAAAUAUUUUGCAGAGAAAGGUGUUUGUCAACGCGCUAAUUGGCGUCAUUCUUUAGACAAACCAGGCAAUUGGGGUGUUUGUGCAGAUGGAUAUUUUCUAAAUGGUUUGUAUCGUUCAAGUGGCAAUCACUUAUCUAGCAUUGAAUAUGGACAUUGUUGCAAACCAGUUAGUCAUCCCGAGAAGUAUGGUGAUUGUUACCAUGAAUAUAUCAAAAAUGAUUUCAACAAACAGGGAUGGGCAAUGUGUAAAAAAGAUGGCUACUACGUCACUGGGAUAAGACGAGAUUACAUAGGGAAUCGGCUUCAUAAUAUUGAUUUUUUCAAGUGCUGUAAUAUGAGGAGUGGCUGAAGCUUUUUACCAUUGGUUUAAUCAGUAAAAAGUUUUGAAUAUAGAUGAAAUGUUUGUUUAGGAUACUUUUUGUAUCUAAUAUGUUGAAAUUUAAAUUUUUUUUAAAACGUUGAAAGAAACAAUUCGUAGUUAGACAAGCUUUCUUUUAACUUAGCUUCUCUUGCUAAAUAAUGCAACACGCCUUAGAUGAUUAUAUGGCAUUGUUCACGUGGCAUCGAUCUACAAAUCUGCUUGAAUCAUGAAAACAUCGCUAUUUAUAGAUGUAUAUAUUUAUAUGUACAAGGAUGUACGAUUUAAUUUAACUAUCUUGCAAAUAAAUAAUUAUUCGGAUAUAGUGUGUUUAAAACCCCACAUCAUGCCACGUACAUAAUUUUUUCAAAACACCGUGUAAUGAUUAAAGAUACUUAACAUAUGCA